AAAGGAAGUGGGAUAUCCAAACAGUCAGGAGGUUGGCUUAGAAGCAGCCAUCCUUUAAAGAAAGCGUAAUAGCUCACUGAUCUAAUUAAGACGUCCUGCGCCGAAGAUGUAACGGGGCUAAAGCCAUAUACCGAAGUUACGGGAUUGCAUUGAAAGACAUGCGAUCGGUAGCGGAGCGUUCUGUAGGCCGGUGAAGGUGUUCUGUAAGGAAUGCUGGAGGUAUCAGAAGUGAGAAUGCUGACAUGAGUAGCGAAAAGAAGUGUGAGAGACACUUCCGCUGAAAGUCCUGUCGACGCGGCCG
This 301-nucleotide ribosomal RNA is filed under the name uncultured Alphaproteobacteria bacterium. RNAcentral's name for it is "bacterial LSU rRNA". It matches the Rfam family "Bacterial large subunit ribosomal RNA", at positions 1068 to 1362 of the family's 2925-position model. The record is from RNAcentral. Lineage: Bacteria; Pseudomonadati; Pseudomonadota; Alphaproteobacteria.